Molecule: long non-coding RNA, 2508 nt
Organism: Maniola jurtina (meadow brown)
Lineage: Eukaryota; Metazoa; Arthropoda; Insecta; Lepidoptera; Nymphalidae
Exons: 2
Source: RefSeq, a predicted model, not a curated record
GUAUUAUUGUUAAUUUGUUUUUUAUAAUAUUAUUAUUUACUAAACAUCCAUUAGUAAUAAAAUAUUACAAUCUUUUAUGUCAACAUUACUAGUAUGCACGUCAUUUUGUAACAGUAGCCGACGCCAUUCUGGAAUCAAACGGGUUAGGUGGAACAGAGGUGUGGUGUAUAUUUAAAUAGUUACCAGCUUUAAUUACUUCGACAUUAAACGCUUGAAACUGGUAUAAUAAUAAAAACGAAACAGCUAAGUUUGAGUACCUAGUUAACAAAUAAAAUCACCUCAGCUCCAUUCAAGUAGGCAUGCAUUUUAUACAUAUUUUUUUUGCUAUUCUGAUAGGAUCUUUGCUAGAUAAAAUAAUAUUAAUGGUUCAAGCUUUACGAAACAAAAUUAUACCUAGGUACCUAUAGUAGGUAUAUGGUAAGAAAAAUAUAAAUACAUAUAAACAAAGCGCUUUUCGAAUUUGUAAUUAAUUUAACCUUUUUUAACCUAUCCUAUUUAAUAUCACAAACCUUAAAAUAUAAUCAGAUAUUACUAUCUUUGAAUUUUUUUAUUCUAUUUAUAUUGUGCUUUUGUCUAUUUAAUAUGGUACUUUUUUUACCUUAGGUACACAUCUAUUAAGAAAAAUAGAAAUUUAAUUUCUACAAAAUCACACAUUUAUACCUGGAGACAUUUUUCAUCCCUUUAACGUGAUUGCUGUUUAGGAAAUUUUUAUUAUUUAUUUUAUUAUUAUUCAUACCUUUAUAUAAAGGUAUCAAAUGCAAUAGAAUGCCUUGAUACAAUUUUUUACAAUACCAGAUUGUACAGAUUGGCAAUAACAUUUACAUUAUAAACAAUCUUUUAAUGAUUAAGAGCACUUGCAGAAGGGGAGCAGUUAAAUUAUGUACUUAAAUUUUGUAAUGCUGUCACUUUUUAGAAAAUGCAUAAUAUACUUAGUUGUGAAUUUUCACGACUAUAUUAUGCAUUUGCACUUUCAAAAAUAUGUUAUGUACUUAACUGUUUUUGUGAUAAUUAUAAUAAAUAAUAACAUGUGUGCAUCAAUCUAUAUUAUAAUAUCAAUGAUGUAGAUUGUAGACCGUCCAAAAAUAAAUUUUUAAUUGUUAAUCUGACAGUUUAAGUUAUAUAAUAUUUGUAUACUGUUUUUUACUAAUUGCUAUAUAAUUUAUAAUUGUUAAUUUAAAUGCAUUUUUUCUUUCUGUUGUGAUACAAAGUUUAUGUACAGUCAGCAACAAAGCUAGGUUGUACCCGCCAGUACAAGGGACUAUGGGCGGGUGCAAACCUAAUUUAGUUGCUGAUUGUACCUAAGUACUUUUCACGAUAUGAUAAGGCUACUAUCUUACUAGGACACCAGUGGCGGCGCAACCACACACUCUUAACAACAAAAUGUAUACAGAUCUAUGCAGGUCACCUGGUGACCGUUUAGUUGCGCAACCACAACGUGGCUGGGGUCGGAAUAGUCGGGGGUGGCGCAACCACUAAGAGGUAUAGAGCAAUUUGCCGUCUCACUCACUCGACCACCAGUUGCGAUACCAGCACGCCGUACGUUGUAUAUAUUAUAGCGGAGUUAACUCUUCGACGGCAAUUUUUAAUCUGACGAUCCUGGUGUACACUCUGGUGUUUCUAAUUUCAUAGCUUAAGACUGCGGUGGCGCGACCGGUGGCGCCACCAUAGUAUAUAUAGUGUCCUAGUGAGAUAUUGGACUAAAACUUUUACCUGGAUAGCAUAAUUAUUUACUAAAUGCCUUAAUUUUAUAAUAAUAUCUACGUAAUUAACUUUUAAUUUCUUAGAUUAGGUAGGUAAUAUAUAUGAAGGUUGACUUUAUGAGAUUUAGUAGGUAAUAAGAAAUUUUGUCAAUAAUGACAGCAUAUCCUAGUAAAUAAUAAGUAACCUAAUUUAACUAGUACCUAAAGUAGCAAAUUAUAGACUAAAGGCGUAUGCACACCUACCGACUGCAGUGGAGCCAAAGGCAAACUGUCUUUGUUAAAAUGAUAACAACUUAAACUCAGCUUUAAACUCAGCAGACAUGGAUUUGAAAUUAGUAUAAUGAAAACAAAAUAUCGACGAGACUGCAUUCAGUUUUCAGCUGAAAAUAUUGCGAAGUAAAAUGUUAAAAUAUGUGGAUAAUGGAGUAUCCAUAAGUUUCUCAAUGAACUGAUAACUUUUCGAUGCAGGAGGAUAGCGAUAAGUAGGUAUUUGCUUCAAGUAGUUAUUAGAAGUGCUCUAUCCAUAAAUUCACAGAUAGCAGAUAUUAUGUUCAUAUACGCAAUAAGGCACUGCCUAAUGUAUCUUUUUUAAUCAACGUAAUUUACAAUGAAAUUCUAAGUAGGUAGGGAGGAAUUGCGUCCAUUGAGUGCUAGUAGGUAUUCUAAAAAAAUGCAUGGAAUUUAUUUACAAUUAAAAAAAAUAGUUUUGGCUCAAUAUCAUGCAGGGAAUUGUGAUCCUAAUAGAGAUUAAUAUUGUUAAUUAACUAAUAGUUUUAGGUAUUAGACUUUAAUAAAGUUACAUAAUGUU